Molecule: ribosomal RNA, 497 nt
Filed under: uncultured bacterium
Lineage: Bacteria
Description: partial 16S ribosomal RNA
Rfam family: Bacterial small subunit ribosomal RNA
Source: RNAcentral
GAUGAACGCUGGCGGCGUGCCUAAUACAUGCAAGUCGAGCGAACGGACGAGAAGCUUGCUUCUCUGAUGUUAGCGGCGGACGGGUGAGUAACACGUGGAUAACCUACCUAUAAUACUGGGAUAACUUCGGGAAACCGGAGCUAAUACCGGAUAAUAUUUUGAACCGCAUGGUUCAAAAGUGAAAGACGGUCUUGCUGUCACUUAUAGAUGGAUCCGCGCUGCAUUAGCUAGUUGGUAAGGUAACGGCUUACCAAGGCAACGAUGCAUAGCCGACCUGAGAGGGGGAUCGGCCACACUGGAACGUGGACACGGUCCAGACUCCUACGGGAGGCAGCAGUAGGGAAUCUUCCGCAAUGGGCGAAAGCCUGACGGAGCAACGCCGCGUGAGUGAUGAAGAUGUUCGGAUCGUAAAACUCUGUUAUUAGGGAAGAACAUAUGUGUAAGUAACUGUGCACAUCUUGACGGUACCUAAUCAGAAAGCCACGGCUAACUACGUG